GUGGGGAAUAUUGGACAAUGGGCGAAAGCCUGAUCCAGCCAUGCCGCGUGUGUGAAGAAGGUCUUCGGAUUGUAAAGCACUUUAAGUUGGGAGGAAGGGCAGUAAGUUAAUACCUUGCUGUUUUGACGUUACCGACAGAAUAAGCACCGGCUAACUUCGUGCCAGCAGCCGCGGUAAUACAAAGGGUGCAAGCGUUAAUCGGAAUUACUGGGCGUAAAGCGCGCGUAGGUGGUUUUGUAAGUUGGAGGUGAAAUCCCCGGGCUCAACCUGGGAACUGCCUCCAAAACUGCAUGACUAGAGUACGGUAGAGGGUAGUGGAAUUUCCUGUGUAGCGGUGAAAUGCGUAGAUAUAGGAAGGAACACCAGUGGCGAAGGCGACUACCUGGACUGAUACUGACACUGAGGUGCGAAAGCGUGGGGAGCAAACAGGAUUAGAAACCCUAGUAGUCC
This 450-nucleotide ribosomal RNA is filed under the name uncultured bacterium. RNAcentral's name for it is "partial 16S ribosomal RNA". It matches the Rfam family "Bacterial small subunit ribosomal RNA", at positions 354 to 796 of the family's 1533-position model. The record is from RNAcentral.